RNAcentral lists this ribosomal RNA (933 nucleotides) under uncultured Ascomycota. Its description in RNAcentral is "eukaryotic LSU rRNA". The stretch from base 286 to 933 matches the Rfam family "Eukaryotic large subunit ribosomal RNA", at positions 1 to 664 of the family's 3401-position model. The record is from RNAcentral. Lineage: Eukaryota; Fungi; Ascomycota.
AUCGAUGAAGAACGCAGCGAAAUGCGAUAAGUAGUGUGAAUUGCAGAAUUCAGUGAAUCAUCGAAUCUUUGAACGCACAUUGCGCCCUUUGGUAUUCCUUAGGGCAUGCCUGUUCGAGCGUCAUCUAAAACCCUCAAGCACUGCUUGGUGUUGGGCGCCUUGUCCCGCCUCCGGCGCGGACUCGCCUCAAAAGCAUUGGCGGCCUGUGUAUUGGCUUCGAGCGCAGCAGACUUGCGCCUCGCAGACCUCUCGCGCGGGCGUCCACGAAGAUGCACCCCACAAGUUUGACCUCGGAUCAGGUAGGGAUACCCGCUGAACUUAAGCAUAUCAAUAAGCGGAGGAAAAGAAACCAACAGGGAUUGCCCUAGUAACGGCGAGUGAAGCGGCAAGAGCUCAAAUUUGAAAUCUGGCCCUCUCAGGGCCCGAGUUGUAAUUUGUAGAGGGCGCUUUGGCGUCGGCCCCGGCCUAAGUUCCUUGGAACAGGACGUCACAGAGGGUGAGAACCCCGUACGUGGCCGCCGGCCUUCGCCGUGUAAAGCCCCUUCGACGAGUCGAGUUGUUUGGGAAUGCAGCUCUAAAUGGGAGGUAAAUUUCUUCUAAAGCUAAAUACUGGCCAGAGACCGAUAGCGCACAAGUAGAGUGAUCGAAAGAUGAAAAGCACUUUGGAAAGAGAGUCAAAAAGCACGUGAAAUUGUUGAAAGGGAAGCGCUUGCAGCCAGACUUGCCUGUAGUUGCUCAUCCGAGCCCUCGCUCGGUGCACUCUUCUGCGGGCAGGCCAGCAUCAGUCCGGGCGGUCGGAUAAAGGCCUCGGGAAUGUAGCUCCCCUCGGGGAGUGUUAUAGCCCGGGGCGCCAUGCGACCAGCCUGGACUGAGGUCCGCGCAUCUGCUAGGAUGCUGGCGUAAUGGCUGUAAGCGGCCCGUCUUGAAACACGG